GCCUGGGUGGCUCAGUCGGUUGAGCGUCUGACUUCAGCUCAGGUCAUGAUCUCACAGUUCGUGGGUUUGAGCCCCACAUCGGGCU
This 85-nucleotide transfer RNA is filed under the name Felis catus (domestic cat). It matches the Rfam family "tRNA". From Rfam's summary of the family: Transfer RNA (tRNA) molecules are approximately 80 nucleotides in length. Their secondary structure includes four short double-helical elements and three loops (D, anti-codon, and T loops). RNAcentral also lists the same sequence under 1 other name. The record is from Rfam by way of RNAcentral. Lineage: Eukaryota; Metazoa; Chordata; Mammalia; Carnivora; Felidae.